GAUGAACGCUGGCGGCGUGCCUAAUACAUGCAAGUCGAGCGAACAGACGAGGAGCUUGCUCCUCUGACGUUAGCGGCGGACGGGUGAGUAACACGUGGAUAACCUACCUAUAAGACUGGGAUAACUUCGGGAAACCGGAGCUAAUACCGGAUAAUAUAUUGAACCGCAUGGUUCAAUAGUGAAAGACGGUUUUGCUGUCACUUAUAGAUGGAUCCGCGCCGCAUUAGCUAGUUGGUAAGGUAACGGCUUACCAAGGCAACGAUGCGUAGCCGACCUGAGAGGGUGAUCGGCCACACUGGGACUGAGCCACGGUCCAGACUCCUACGGGAGGCGGCAGUAGGGAAUCUUCCGCAAUGGGCGAAAUCUUGACGGAGCAACGCCGCGUGAGUGAUGAAGGUCUUCGGAUCGUAAAACUCUGUUAUUAGGGAAGAACAAAUGUGUAAGUAACUAUGCACGUCUUGACGGUACCUGAUCAGAAAGCCACGGCUAACUACGUG
This 497-nucleotide ribosomal RNA is filed under the name uncultured bacterium. RNAcentral describes it as "partial 16S ribosomal RNA". It matches the Rfam family "Bacterial small subunit ribosomal RNA", at positions 28 to 507 of the family's 1533-position model. The record is from RNAcentral.